CCUACGGGUGGCUGCAGUGGGGAAUAGUGGGCAAUGGGCGAAAGCCUGACCCAGCAACGCCGCGUGAAGGAAGAAGGCUUUCGGGUGGUAAACUUCUUUUGACAGGGAAGAGCAGAAGACGGUACCUGUCGAAUAAGCCACGGCUAACUACGUGCCAGCAGCCGCGGUAAUACGUAGGUGGCAAGCGUUGUCCGGAUUUACUGGGUGGAAAGGGCGUGUAGCCGGGCUGACAAGUCAGAUGUGAAAUCCGGGGGCUCAACCCCCGAACUUCCUUUGAAACUGGUGGUCUUGAGUAUCGGAGAGGCAGGCGGCCUUCCUCUUGUAGCUGUCAACUGCGUCGAUAUUCGGCGGAACCCCAGUGGCGAAGGCGGCCUGCUGGACGCCCACUGACGGUGCGGCGCGAAAGCGUGUGGAGCAAACAGGAUUAGAUACCCGGGUAGUC
Molecule: ribosomal RNA, 442 nt
Filed under: uncultured bacterium
Lineage: Bacteria
Description: partial 16S ribosomal RNA
Rfam family: Bacterial small subunit ribosomal RNA
Source: RNAcentral